This is a non-coding RNA of Phrynosoma platyrhinos (Desert horned lizard), 74 nucleotides long. The record is from the annotation of a GenBank genome assembly. Lineage: Eukaryota; Metazoa; Chordata; Lepidosauria; Squamata; Phrynosomatidae.
AAGCCAGUGUAGUAUAGUGGUAUGAGAACUGGAUUAGGACUCUGGAGACCAGGGUUCAAAUCCCUACUGGGCUG